RNAcentral lists this ribosomal RNA (231 nucleotides) under uncultured bacterium. RNAcentral describes it as "partial 16S ribosomal RNA". It matches the Rfam family "Bacterial small subunit ribosomal RNA", at positions 103 to 334 of the family's 1533-position model. The record is from RNAcentral.
CGGGUGAGUAACGCGUGGAUAACCUGCCUCACACUGGGGGAUAACAGUUAGAAAUGGCUGCUAAUACCGCAUAAGCGCACAGUACCGCAUGGUACGGUGUGAAAAACCCAGGUGGUGUGAGAUGGAUCCGCGUCUGAUUAGCCAGUUGGCGGGGUAACGGCCCACCAAAGCGACGAUCAGUAGCCGACCUGAGAGGGUGACUGGCCACAUUGGGACUGAGACACGGCCCAA